Long non-coding RNA from Fukomys damarensis (Damara mole-rat), 5620 nucleotides. RefSeq lists it as uncharacterized. The transcript is spliced from 5 exons. Lineage: Eukaryota; Metazoa; Chordata; Mammalia; Rodentia; Bathyergidae. The record is from RefSeq and is a predicted model, not a curated record.
UUUGUCUGUUUUGUUCCUAAUUUGGGAAUGUCUUGUUUACAUUAAUUUCCAUAGAAACUGCAUGUAGCUUGACUUUACCCCAGUUGAUGGCCAAUGAAAGUCAGUGCCUGGGACUGACCGGCACCCCUGUUGGUUGCACUGCCAUUAGCCAUCCUGGCUCUCCACUUUCUCUCACCUGGUUCUAUCUUAGUUUGCCUCAGGCCUGCAUUGUAUACUGGGCAAGGUAUUGGAACCUAAGGGCAGGGGUCUCUAGUACCUGGCACCCAGGUAAAGCUAGGAGUAUUUUUUCUUGCUAUCUUGCUUUGUGCUCCUUAGAGCUUUCCUAGCUGUUUUCAGUCCAUUACUUGUGUUCUCAUUUCAGCUCUUUCCGAACUGAAUGCAAGCCAUGUUCGGCCCUCUGUGUCCAGCCAUAGCUUCCUGCCCACAUCUGCUGGUGCACCAAAGCCAAGCAGUUCUCCUCAUGCUUUUGCUCCCACCUCCUCUGCACCUGUGGUCUUAGCAACUCCAGUGGAGGGGAGGCAGCUCGACCUCCUCCAGAGGGGAUGUCACGAUUUCACAUUUUCUGAGAGGCAAGGCCGAGUUACUCCAACCUUAGCAGGCAGGCUUCCGCCAGACUCGCUUCUAUAAGCAAGCCGAUUUGGGGCUAAUUCUUCACAGCCUGUUUGGGGCAUAGUCAGUAUGAUGGUCCUCCACACGCCUGGGUUAGUAGUGGGCCUCUGGGCUGAGGACCUGUGUAAUGCACCCAGAUACCCAGGUUUCAGAGUUUAGCAUUCAGGCUGCCAGCCAAAGAGCUGAUCCAUGACUGUCAGAAGAUGGACUUUAUUUGAGUAGGAAGCUUGUUUUUGUCUGGAGUGGUUGUACAGCACAUUCCGUUCAUAUGACUUGGGUUCUCAGAUUUGUAAGGGCCCAGCUUCCUAUGGGACCUUCGGGGACAUCGACUUCUUCACUCUGGGUUUACAAGAUGUCCCACCCCAAGUUUCUCUGGCUGUACAACUCUUUCCACCUGAAAGUUAUCUGAAAAAUGAAAGAUUCAGCUAAUACUCUGGCAGAAUGCUAUUAGCACUUCCAUGGUGUUUUGGGUGAAAUGACAUUAUCUUAGUAGAUGUUUAAGGAGAUGAGAGCAGACGGGAGAAUCAGGUUGGGUCAGACUAAGACUGGAAUCACAGCUGAGAACAGGGGAAGAAGCUUCAAGUGGGGCAGUCCCACCCAGGGCAUCCCUGGACAGGCUGAGGGUCACCAAUUCUGGCCUCUCCACAUGCCAGUGGAGAGCAUCUAUGAGCAUCUUGCCCUCUAAAACAGGAGAUUAGAUUGUCUCAAAGGUUCCUUUUAACUGAAUACUGAUUUCUGUUAAUCUCACACUUAAAAAUUUAAGUCACAAAAUCAAGGCAGGUCAUAUAUAUAUUUGUGGGAGCUGGAGAGAGGAGGCUGGGAAGAGGGUUAUGCUGGAAGAUACCAAAUGUUGUGUCUAGGAUAGGAGUCUUGGACGGCCAGGGUUAAAGCCAGUCUUGUUCUGGACCCCGGCCCUGCAGAGCAGCCCUGAUCUCUGUGGAAUCUAGUAAGUGCUCCUGGGACAUACCUGUCCCCCUGCCAUGCUGGGCAGUGGCAGUGUUAAGUCUUGGCUGCCAGCCUAAAGGCAAUGAUCACCUGGCAAAUUAGAGCUCGGUGCUCUGUGUGCACCUGCAGUGGGAAAUCCCUGGGCUGUCUGGCUCCAGAGAAGACCCAAGUGGGGCUUUCACCUCGAGCUUCUUCUGUUCCGCUCCUGCUGUCCAGCAGUAAACAUUCAUUAACAUCCACAGCUGAGGGCCAGCUGGGGUCACGAUGGAUCAGUGGUUCUCUCUGGGCUCCAGGCCUUGCAAGCACACCUUGCUCUUUCAUAGCUGGAGGUGGCUGAAAUACGCAGAUGCAAAGUGACUCUAAAAUUCCAAGUGUGCGUGGCUGUGUGUAAAAUUUCAUGGAAACGUCAUAAAACUAUGUGGCUCACACUGUGCUCCUUUAACUACAGAGGUCUCAGAAACACUUGGUCUGAUCACAGAAAGAGCCGGUGCAAUGAAACCUCCCUAAAAUGCCUCUGUGAGGCCUAUUGAAAUGUACAGUGAGUGUUUAAACGAAAGACACUUUGCCAUUAACCCUCCCUGGACUCCUUUCCCCCUGUUGCAAACAUACUUAGCCCAUGAUUCUUGCCACUUCCUGAAGCAGCUCUGGAGUCCUUUUUCCCAAGUGUCUUUAGGAGGUGUAAUAAAUCAGUGACCACUGCUGCUGAUCACCACGCCACAGAGAGGCAGCUCAUAAGAAACACGACCCUGUGUUCUCAUCUACCUUACACCAGCUCUGAUGCUGAGUGACUUCCAGCUCUUCCCCAAAGUCAGGAUGAUCGUGAGAGGGGAAUGUUUGGAAUUGAGUCAGGACAUGGAGACAUCCAGGACAGCGUAGCUGAAGACCCUCAGGAGAGAGGACUGCAGAGCCGCUGGAGGCAGCCACGACAGUGGGACGAGUGUGUGCAAGACUCUGCUGAAGGUUUUCGUGAUGAAUAAAUCCACCAAAUUUCAGCUUAUCAGGAGGAGACGGAAAAAGGAUAAAAGUUUAAGGAAACUGGUCUCUGAAUAAGCAUCAUUUCAUCGUUUGAAGCCCACUUAGCAAUAAGGUAUCUAAGAAAGCAGACCUCCAGUUGCUUUAAAGAUCUGCUCCGAGUUCCCUUCCUUUUGGUUGGCACCGGAAGUGGUCACUCCAGUCCUCUUUUCCCCUCCCCCAACCUAAGUGGUGCCUUAUCCAAUUCUGAGCAUUCUGACCAAAUCUGGCUUUGAGAAAGAACUGUCCUGAUCUGAUACAUAAUCCAAGUCAUACUACUUGAAAUCCAGGUUGAAACUGUGUUCUUGCAUAACCUACAACAUUCAGGGCCGGAUACUCUUGAGCUGGCUCAGCAUGUACAAUCCACUGGUAGAAUUUUUGCCCAGGGCUGGUGGAUAUGGGAAUUAUUGCUAUCUUUCCCAAAAGCGAUUUGGAAAUAUAGGUCAGGCUUAAAAAUGCUCAUGCCCUUUCCCCCAGUGACUUAAAUCUUAGGAACUGGGCCCCGGGAAAUAGAGACAGGGCUAAGAAUGAUGUGUUGAAGACUCCCAGAAGCACCAUCUGCCACUACAACACCAAAAUAGGAACCAAAGGAAACAUUCAACCAUCCAGAAAUUGUUAGCAUCACAUUCCAACCCACCCAGCAUGUGAUGUGACCGCUUCAUGAAAUAGUGAUGGUGUGGGAAGAAACACUGCCACUGCCCACGUGAGCCUGAAAGGGGACAAGUAGAGGCCCAGGUUGUACACAAUAUGAUUCCAGUUCUGUUGCCACCGGCCAUUCACCACCUGUCCAUCCUUCACGCUCAAGCUACCUAGGGGGAGUGCGGCAAGAAAAAAGAACUGAAAGAAUUUUGCAAAUUUCAAUUCCCAUCCGCCCGCUCCUUCCUUGAGCCCCUUCCCGUAGCCCAAGGCCAGCAUUUCUUCCCGAAAGGCUUUAGUUUUAGCGUCUCAGCUGUUUCCCAAAGCCAAGCCCGUGGACCCCCUCCCAUGAUGCCCCACAGCUGUGGCAGGAAAUGGAAACCCGAAGCGUCAACAAACCAAAGAGGCCCAUGCGACCACGUGACUAUGACCAGGCAGUCAUCCAAUCAUCAAGCAACUUUCUCCCCAUCACUUCCGGAACUUUCCCGAGGCUCCCCGGAGCUCCUGGCCUCCUUGCCCCAGGGCUGUGCCCAUAAAGCUUUUGGUUUCUUCAGAAACCUGGUGCCGGGCCGUGAGCACUUGCUGGAUACACAGGAGAGUCACGAGCCCACAGGUCCCUACGUCACAUGGGUGGAGCUGUUCCAUCAGGGAUUUUGGAGCUUGUGACAUUUUGACCUGAAGACCUAGAUUCUUUGGCUCGUGUGCAGUUUUGGAAAGACGUUUGCAAACAGCAAGAAUCACCUGUGAAAGACCUGGAAGAUAAUUCUGGAAGGGAAUUUAAGAAUUUGGCAUUUAAGGCGUAUAUGGGCAGACAGAUCCAGGUGGUGCGAAGUAACGGGGAACACUCCGGCCAUGGGAGGAAGCCGGGGACGCUGGGAAGAGACUCCAGACGGGAGAGCAAGGCCAGGGAGGCAUCGAGCCAAGGAAGCAGCUGUGACUGAAACAGCAGCAGGCAUCGUGGUCCAAUUACCUCAUUUCCUAGGCAUGGAGGAUACAAUCGUGAGCUAAAUAAGCAAAGAAGCUAGCCUGCAGGUGAGGAGAGAGAGGAGCACGCGUUCUGAAGAGCAGUGAAGUUGGGUCAGCGAUGGAGAGUGACCGGGGUGAGAUUUUAUAGAAGGCGGAAAGGAAAACGUCUCUAGGAUGAGAAACAUCAGGUACCUGGAAAGGACCAGCAAAUAAAUGCAAAGGCCCUGGGGGAGCCCACGCCAGGCACCAAGGCAGCUGGAGAGAAGAGGAGGUAAGAUGAGAGGUGGCAAAAGGCCAGAGCCUUAGGGGCUUUGCAGACCAGGGAGAAGAUGAGAAGCAGAAGGGUGACGAUCUGAUGAACGCCCAGGAGGAAGCAGUGAGGCGGCCCGGGACCAGGAAGAAAGCGGUGGGGUGGGAAGGAGCGCAGAGGCUGCUGUUUCCAGUGAGCCAGGAGAGGUGGCGGUGGUUGGUGAGGUUAAGGCGGCAGCCAUAGAGGCGGUGAGGUUGCCCAGUGGAUUAGAUGAGCGGAGAGCGAGGGAGAGAGAGCCGAUGGGGUGACUCCCACCUUUCAAGCCUGAGCAACGGAAAGGAUGGGGUUGCCAUUUGCUAAAAUGGGAAAAAUGGAAACAGGUUUGAAAGAAGAGAAAAACCAAGCGCUUUUCUUUGCACCCAUGAAACAGCUGGACUGUGUGGGUGUGAAGCUGGGAGAGGCUGAGGCUGAAGGUGGAGGUUAGGCAUCACCAGAGGCAGAGGGUUUCGAAGCCCACGGACCCAGGUGGGCUUGCUGGGGAGCAAACGCAGCUGAUGGGGAAGGGGCGCCCUGUGGAGCCAUGGCUUAAGGUGCGGAGGUUGGAAAGAUGAGAGGGAAGCGUCGUGCAGAGCAGCGGUGGUCAGGAGAGGAGGGACGGGCUGUGGGAAGGAUGUGGUCCAGGAGAGAGGCCCUGCGCGGGGCCUGCAGAGGCCACUGAAGACGCGGUGAGGAGCCCUUCCUGUGGGGCAGCGGGGAGGAAUCCAGGCUGCCAUAGGCUCAGGAGAGAAGGCAAGUGCCCGAGAUGCGGAGCGUUCUUGCUGCAAGAAGGGGAGGAAAAGGGUGCAGCGGAAGGGAGGAAGUGGAAAAGCAGAGUCUGGUCCAGGAACGGGAGAUGGUGGGGCACGUUCAUGUUUCAGUGGAAGCGACUGGGCGGAAGGGAAGGAAAGCAGCUGUGGCAGAGGGAGCGUGGUCCUUCUCUGGGUGACGGAGAGGCUCAGUGGGAGAGGGCUGUUCAUCCAUGCAGAGAGAGAAGCCUCUGCUGGGUCGGAGGGCGGACAUGGGGAGCGAAGACAGCAAUGUCAGAGGCGCAGAACCCCGAGGGUGACUUCCAGCCACACCCCGACCCCGGUUCCACAGGGGCGCAGGGACUGGGCCCCAGCACGGGCAGGCGCCCAGCAGGCCCCGGGACCCCGUGUGCCCCGA